AUUGAACGCUGGCGGCAGGCCUAACACAUGCAAGUCGAGCGGAUGAGGGGUGCUUGCUCCUGGAUUCAGCGGCGGGCGGGCGGGUAAUGCCUAGGUAUCUAACCUGUCGUGGGGGAUAACGUCCGGACACGGGCGCUCAUCUCACACAGGUCCUGCGGGAGAAUGUGGGGGAUCUUCGGACGUCACGCUAUCAGAUGAGCCUAGGUCGGAUUGGCUAGUUGGUGGGGUAAAGGCCUACCAAGGCGAGGAUCCGUCCUUGGUCUGAGAGGAUGAUCAGUCACACUGGAACUGGAACGCGGUCCGGACUCCUACGGGAGGCAGCGGAGGGGAAGGGGGGACAGUGGGCGGAAGCCUGGCCCGAUGAAGCGACGUGUGUGAAGAAGGUCUUCGGAUCGUGAAGCGCUUUAAUGUGGGAGGAGGUGAAGUACGUGAAUAUGUUGCGGUUUUGACGGUACCCGCAGAUGAAGCGCCGGCUAACUACGUG
Molecule: ribosomal RNA, 484 nt
Filed under: uncultured bacterium
Lineage: Bacteria
Description: partial 16S ribosomal RNA
Rfam family: Bacterial small subunit ribosomal RNA
Source: RNAcentral